GAUGAACGCUAGCGAUAGGCUUAACACAUGCAAGUCGAGGGGCAGCACAAGGUAGCUUGCUAUCUGGGUGGCGACCGGCGCACGGGUGCGUAACGCGUAUGCAACUUGCCCUAUACAGGAGGAUAACCCGUCGAAAGACGGACUAAUACUGCGUAUGCUCACAACUUAGCAUCAAGUGGUGAGGAAAGAAAUUCGGUAUAGGAUAGGCAUGCGUCCCAUUAGCUUGUUGGUGAGGUAACGGCUCACCAAGGCAACGAUGGGUAGGGGAACUGAGAGGUUUAUCCCCCACACUGGUACUGAGACACGGACCAGACGCCUACGGGAGGCAGCAGUGAGGAAUAUUGGUCAAUGGGCGCGAGCCUGAACCAGCCAAGUCGCGUGAAGGAUGACUGUCUUAUGGAUUGUAAACUUCUUUUAUACGGGAAGAACAAGAGUCACGUGUGACUCCCUGCAUGUACCGUAUGAAUAAGCAUCGGCUAACUCCGUG
Molecule: ribosomal RNA, 487 nt
Filed under: uncultured bacterium
Lineage: Bacteria
Description: partial 16S ribosomal RNA
Rfam family: Bacterial small subunit ribosomal RNA
Source: RNAcentral